Molecule: ribosomal RNA, 301 nt
Filed under: uncultured bacterium
Lineage: Bacteria
Description: partial 16S ribosomal RNA
Rfam family: Bacterial small subunit ribosomal RNA
Source: RNAcentral
CAGUAGCCGCGGGAACACGGAGGGCGCGAGCGUUACCCAGAUUUACUAGGCGUAAAGGGCGUGUAGGCGGCCUGGGGCGUCCCAUGUGAAAGGCCACGGCUCAACCGUGGAGGAGCGUGGGAUACGCUCAGGCUAGAGGGUGGGAGAGGGUGGUGGAAUUCCCGGAGUAGCGGUGAAAUGCGCAGAUACCGGGAGGAACGCCGAUGGCGAAGGCAGCCACCUGGUCCACUUCUGACGCUGAGGCGCGAAAGCGUGGGGAGCAAACCGGAUUAGAUACCCCCGUAGUCCCUGUCUCUUAUAC